GUAUAGAUUAUUCCGAGCAAAUGGUUUCUUAUGCCACCACAAUUAGAAAAGGAAUCAAACGGUACAGAAAACUUGGCAUUCGACUCCUUCUGGGAAUUUCUGUUGUAAACGCUUUGAAGGUUUACAAAAUUGCAACAAGGGAGAAUAUAAAUAUUAGAAUAUUUAGACAAUUAUUAGUUGGAAAAUUAUUAGGUCCUUGCCUUCGACGGAGUCAACAUAACAUCGCCGUUCGGAAAAAUGAUUCCGGAAGAAGCAUUAGACGCGCAU
This 267-nucleotide unclassified non-coding RNA is filed under the name Bombus terrestris (buff-tailed bumblebee). RNAcentral describes it as "misc RNA ENSBTSG00005030257.1". Lineage: Eukaryota; Metazoa; Arthropoda; Insecta; Hymenoptera; Apidae. The record is from RNAcentral.